AAAAAUAGAAAAUCAGUAAAAUAAAAUGUGAAAAAAUAAAAAUUAGAUGAAAAAAAAUAAAAGAGAAUUUUAGAAAUUAUUUUUGGAUUUUUUGGAUGAAAAAUGAAAUUACUAUGAAUUUUAAAAGAAAAAGAAAUUAAAAAUUAAAAAAAGAAAAAGAAUUAAAAUCAGAAAAAAUACGGAGCGUUGGAUCUGACUUCAUUAAUUG
This 208-nucleotide long non-coding RNA is filed under the name Lathyrus oleraceus (garden pea). RNAcentral describes it as "Pisum sativum (pea) long non-coding RNA (PSAT_LNC017055)". The record is from RNAcentral. Lineage: Eukaryota; Viridiplantae; Streptophyta; Magnoliopsida; Fabales; Fabaceae.